Molecule: ribosomal RNA, 429 nt
Filed under: Actinomycetes bacterium
Lineage: Bacteria; Bacillati; Actinomycetota; Actinomycetes
Description: Actinobacteria bacterium partial 16S ribosomal RNA
Rfam family: Bacterial small subunit ribosomal RNA
Source: RNAcentral
UAGGGAAUCUUCCGCAAUGGGCGAAAGCUUGACGGAGCAACGCCGCGUGAGUGAUGAAGGUCUUCGGAUCGUAAAACUCUGUUCUUAGGGAAGAACAAAUGUGUAAGUAACUAUGCACGUCUUGACGGUACCUAAUCAGAAAGCCACGGCUAACUACGUGCCAGCAGCCGCGGUAAUACGUAGGUGGCAAGCGUUAUCCGGAAUUAUUGGGCGUAAAGCGCGCGUAGGCGGUUUUUUAAGUCUGAUGUGAAAGCCCACGGCUCAACCGUGGAGGGUCAUUGGAAACUGGAAAACUUGAGUGCAGAAGAGGAAAGUGGAAUUCCAUGUGUAGCGGUGAAAUGCGCAGAGAUAUGGAGGAACACCAGUGGCGAAGGCGACUUUCUGGUCUGUAACUGACGCUGAUGUGCGAAAGCGUGGGGAUCAAACAGG